Molecule: long non-coding RNA, 511 nt
Organism: Rhineura floridana
Lineage: Eukaryota; Metazoa; Chordata; Lepidosauria; Squamata; Rhineuridae
Exons: 3
Source: RefSeq, a predicted model, not a curated record
AGGUAAACUUUCACUUUCCAAAUUACAACCGGACUAUCUUCUCGAUAAGCGGUCCUUGGAUUUGGACACUAAUCAGUGAGAGGAAUCCCAUCCCAUCAUCCUGGUGUUGCUUAUCCACCCAGCUGUGGCACAUUUCAUCAAAGAUCAGGAAAGUUUCCACUUUCUAAAAUGGUGCAGUCAGCGAUUCCCAGAACUCAGGAUUGUUUUAGAAAACUGAGAGAUGAAUUGUUUGAUAAGGGUCAUCCAAUGAAACUGAACAGCGGAAGAUUCAGGACAGAUGACAAGUGACUGCCUGGGGCACCAAUCUUUCAGAGCACCUGACAUGGGCUACCUACUCCGCUACCCACUCAGAAUCUGAAACCAAUAGUACAUACAAUUCAUUGUCACUUUUAAAGCUGGGGACACCAAUCUCUGUGGCCAGCAUUGUGUUAAUGGUCAUUUUUGUAUUGAAUUUUUCCCAUAAAUUAAAAACAUUGCUGUUCAUUCAACAAAUUGCAUGUGAGUGAUUGUG